This 395-nucleotide long non-coding RNA is filed under the name Triticum aestivum (bread wheat). RNAcentral's name for it is "long non-coding RNA (TAES_LNC002499)". Lineage: Eukaryota; Viridiplantae; Streptophyta; Magnoliopsida; Poales; Poaceae. The record is from RNAcentral.
AUGAUCUCGGGUCGCACUUCAGAUGCGCAUGGAGUGUCUGACUGUCGAGGCAGCCACCUGUGGCUUCCAGCUUCAUUUGAGAUCAUUCAGUAUCCAUCUCAAGCACUGGAUAGUAGGCAUGUUUGUCCACUUCAACCGCAGAGGCGCCCUGCUCGAAUUUCAUCUCUUGGGCUCAUAGAUAUCAAGAUGCCUGAAAUUUCAAACAUGCACCCCAUUCUGAAUUAACGCUGAUUCCUUUCUAACAUAUUAACUUGAAUUAACUAAUGCCAGGAAGCAUCAGGAGUUACCUUCCUCUGCUUGUCUUCUUGCAAGCUACUCCCUCUGUAAACACUCUUAUAUUUCUUUACGGAGGGAGUAGUAACCUGCAGCAAAUUUUGGACCAAUGACAGUGCACC